This 1053-nucleotide ribosomal RNA is filed under the name soil metagenome. RNAcentral describes it as "bacterial LSU rRNA". It matches the Rfam family "Bacterial large subunit ribosomal RNA", at positions 1868 to 2925 of the family's 2925-position model. The record is from RNAcentral.
GCUGGAAGAUUAAAUGAUGGGGUGCAAGCUCUUGAUUGAAGUCCCAGUAAACGGCGGCCGUAACUAUAACGGUCCUAAGGUAGCGAAAUUCCUUGUCGGGUAAGUUCCGACCUGCACGAAUGGAGUAACGAUGGCCACACUGUCUCCUCCCGAGACUCAGCGAAGUUGAAGUGUUUGUGAUGAUGCAAUCUACCCGCGGCUAGACGGAAAGACCCCAUGAACCUUUACUGUAGCUUUGCAUUGGACUUUGAACCAAUCUGUGUAGGAUAGGUGGGAGGCUUUGAAGCGGGGACGCCAGUUCUCGUGGAGCCAUCCUUGAAAUACCACCCUGGUUUGUUUGAGGUUCUAACCUUGGUCCGUUAUCCGGAUCGGGGACAGUGCAUGGUAGGCAGUUUGACUGGGGCGGUCUCCUCCCAAAGUGUAACGGAGGAGUUCGAAGGUACGCUAGGUACGGUCGGACAUCGUGCUAAUAGUGCAAUGGCAUAAGCGUGCUUAACUGCGAGACUGACAAGUCGAGCAGGUACGAAAGUAGGACAUAGUGAUCCGGUGGUUCUGUAUGGAAGGGCCAUCGCUCAACGGAUAAAAGGUACUCUGGGGAUAACAGGCUGAUUCCUCCCAAGAGUUCAUAUCGACGGGGGAGUUUGGCACCUCGAUGUCGGCUCAUCACAUCCUGGGGCUGUAGCCGGUCCCAAGGGUAUGGCUGUUCGCCAUUUAAAGUGGUACGUGAGCUGGGUUUAAAACGUCGUGAGACAGUUUGGUCCCUAUCUGCCGUGGGCGUUGGAAAUUUGAAGGGGGCUGCUCCUAGUACGAGAGGACCGGAGUGGACGAACCUCUGGUGUACCGGUUGUCACGCCAGUGGCAUUGCCGGGUAGCUAAGUUCGGAAGAGAUAACCGCUGAAAGCAUCUAAGCGGGAAACUUGCCUUAAGAUGAGAUUUCCCGGAGCCUUGAGCUCCUUGAAGGGUCGUUCGAGACCAGGACGUUGAUAGGCUGGGUGUGGAAGUGCAGUAAUGCAUUAAGCUAACCAGUACUAAUUGCCCGUAAGGCUUGUCCCU